CCCUUAGAUGCUCUGGGCCGCACGCGCGCUACACUGGUCGAUGCAACGAGUUUCUUUCCUUGGCCGACAGGCCUGGGCAAUCUUUGAACAUCGAUCAUGAUCGGGAUAGAUUCUUGUAAUUUUUGAUCUUAAACGAGGAAUUCCUAGUAAACGCAAGUCAUCAGCUUGCAUUGAUUACGUCCCUGCCCUUUGUACACACCGCCCGUCGCACCUACCGAUUGAAUGGUCCGGUGAAAUCUCCGGACUGGCGUGAGUCGGAGCAAUCUGACAAACGCCGGAAAGUUGAUUAAACCUUACCAUUUAGAGGAAGGUGAAGUCGUAACA
Molecule: ribosomal RNA, 324 nt
Filed under: uncultured eukaryote
Lineage: Eukaryota
Description: partial 18S ribosomal RNA
Rfam family: Eukaryotic small subunit ribosomal RNA
Source: RNAcentral